UACGGAGGGGGCUAGCGUUGUUCGGAAUCACUGGGCGUAAAGGGAGCGUAGGCGGCGUGGUAAGUCAGAUGUGAAAUCCCCGGGGCUCAACCCCGGAACUGCAUCCGAUACUGCCGUGCUAGAGGAUUGGAGAGGUAGCUGGAAUUCUUGGUGUAGCAGUGAAAUGCGUGGAGAUCAAGAGGAACACUCGUGGCGAAAGCGAGCUACUGGACAAUAUCUGACGUGAGGCUCGAAGGCCAGGGUAGCGAAAGGG
Molecule: ribosomal RNA, 253 nt
Filed under: uncultured bacterium
Lineage: Bacteria
Description: partial 16S ribosomal RNA
Rfam family: Bacterial small subunit ribosomal RNA
Source: RNAcentral